RNAcentral lists this ribosomal RNA (426 nucleotides) under uncultured Prosthecobacter sp. Its description in RNAcentral is "bacterial SSU rRNA". It matches the Rfam family "Bacterial small subunit ribosomal RNA", at positions 355 to 774 of the family's 1533-position model. Lineage: Bacteria; Pseudomonadati; Verrucomicrobiota; Verrucomicrobiia; Verrucomicrobiales; Verrucomicrobiaceae. The record is from RNAcentral.
UCGAGAAUCUUUCACAAUGGGGGCAACCCUGAUGGAGCGACGCCGCGUGGAGGAUAAGGUCUUCGGAUUGUAAACUCCUGUCAUGCGUGAACAAGGCUGCGAGGUUAAUACCUUUGCAGAUUGAUGGUAGCGCAAGAGGAAGAGACGGCUAACUCUGUGCCAGCAGCCGCGGUAAUACAGAGGUCUCAAGCGUUGUUCGGAAUCACUGGGCGUAAAGGGUGCGUAGGUGGCGUGGUAAGUCAGAUGUGAAAGCCCAGGGCUCAACCCUGGAAUUGCAUCCGAUACUGCUGUGCUAGAGUACUGGAGGGGUGACUAGAAUUCUCGGUGUAGCAGUGAAAUGCGUAGAUAUCGAGAGGAAUACCAAAGGCGUAGGCAGGUCACUGGACAGUUACUGACACUGAGGCACGAAGGCCAGGGGAGCGAACG